Molecule: long non-coding RNA, 1610 nt
Organism: Apteryx owenii (little spotted kiwi)
Lineage: Eukaryota; Metazoa; Chordata; Aves; Apterygiformes; Apterygidae
Source: Ensembl
UUUGAACUUUGGCUUUCCUUGGCUCCCAUCUUUACCUCUCAGAGUAAGGCAUUUGGCAUCUGGCCACCAGAAACUAGGGUUGUCCACCUCUCAGGGCUUCAGUGAGUCAGUUAGUAUAACUGAUCUGAACAAGACAGAUCAUAAAAAGGAGACACCAAAUCUCUUAAAUUUGUGGUAAUUAAAUAGAAUGUGAAAUUUUUGUUUCAUCACACUGGAAUUUCCCAACCUCAACACAAUGAGGAUGGUUUAAAAAAAAAAAAAAAAGUCCCUGAGCAAUGAGUCAUAGUCUCCUUAGGCGACAUCUGCAAGGCUGAACCCAGAUUGCCAUGAAAUCUGGUGGUUAGCAUUAAACAUACUAAGUUUUUACUUACGUAGAACAGUGUGCACCAAGUGGAUUGAUUAUAUUGUACAGUUGGCUUUUCAAAGCAGUGCAUAUGCCUCUAUGUAUCUACAGUGCAGUCAGCAGUGCAACGUAGAGCUAUCUGACCAAGCUUAAACUAGCUGGACUGGAGACCAAAAGCAAUUUAGUUCUGAUGACCAACGUUGACACAUCCUGCUUUCCAUCACUUCCCAUUUCUGGCCUCAUUUGCACACUAGUGCUUCACAGGAAAGUAAUGCCAAGCAGGUUAUAUUAACACUGUUUCACCCUUUGUUCUGUUUCCCAGGAGGAAAGUCUGCACUGAGCCUCAUGCUGAUAAGCAAGACUACUGCCAGUACCUUAGCCACUCACUUAAACCUAAUUCUGAAACCACAGGGCGGCUCUGCAGGCUGCUUCUCGCCGGCGCGCAGCAGAUGGCAGCCUGUGUCCGCGCAGUCCCACAAGCGCCCCCCUCCCGGGCGCGGCCGCACGCGUCCCCGGACCGGUCUGACGAGGACGGACAGCCUACAGGAGCGCUCCCUCCCGCCUCCUCGCCUCCUCUUCCUCCUCUCCUCCGCCAGCACAGAGCUGGCAUGCUCUCUGUUGGAAGAGUUUUUCUCUCAGGGAAGUGACAUUUUAUAAAUGAGCUCAAACAUAAGUAAAGAGGUGCCUGGCUGCUGCAAGGGCACAAAGCUUCGCCCCGGUAGAAGGGAUCUGCUGUCAGGCUGAGGCUGGCUUGCCAGCCUGGCUCCCGCCUCGGGGCUCGCCCUGGCGCAAGGGGGUCACCUCCAGGCUCACCAGCAGCCCCUGUCCUUUCGUUAGGAAGGAAAAUCAAACUCCAGUUUUACAUAUGAUUCCUAGAGUUAUAUUCCACUAGAUUUGCUGUAUCAGCCUACCAAAAGCAGGACCUAAAAUGACAUCUGUAAUGUCAUAAAAUGACAAGUAACAGCUUUCAUAAUGCUCUUCUGAUUUGAGGAUGAGCACAGACUGAUUCCCUUCAAUUAGCCCUAGGAUCAAGCAGCUCAAGAAAAAGUCCCACGCUGCAGUGCCAAGCUCUGCAGCCACACAGCCAAUGAUUUGGCAUCACUGGUUUUCAGUUUAACAGCACAUGGAAAAGUUUCUGUCAUAACAAAACACUCAGGCUGCAAGCUGAACCCUCCAAAAUCUGGAUUUGGCAUUGUUACUGAAGUACGUGCAACAUUACCUGUGCCAGCAUCAAUAUGCAUUGCAAUAAAGUCUUAAUAAAUGUUCA